AUUCAGCACACAUUAGAAGCAUCAAAACAACAACAAAAACAACCUCAGGGUCUCUGUUUGUGAUGCUGUAUUAUAAAUGGCUUUAGAAAGGACACAUUUUCCUAAGCUCCAAACAAGCCAUAGAUGCCUUAGUUCCAACUGCCAGACAAAUAUUUUUUGUUCACCCAAUGAUGCAGUGAUGCUGCAGUAGAAAGCUCCUUUGGUUCAAGACCCAAGACAAGCAACAUUUAGUCUUACAGUCCUAUGCCCGCUUUUCCUAGGCUACCUUGCUCAACAGUGAAGCUUGCGGGUGCUACGAGGGAUAGAAGGCUGUGUGAUGUGGGCCUGAACCAAG
Nothoprocta perdicaria is the source of this 334-nucleotide long non-coding RNA. RefSeq lists it as uncharacterized. The transcript has 5 exons. NCBI's taxonomy places the organism in Eukaryota, Metazoa, Chordata, Aves, Tinamiformes, Tinamidae. The record is from RefSeq and is a predicted model, not a curated record.